CGGGGUGCAGCAGGCGCGAAAACUUUACAAUGCUGGCAACAGCGAUAAGGGGACCUCGAGUGCCAGGUUACAAAUCUGGCUGUCGUGAUGCCUAAAAAGCAUUGCAUAGCAAGGGCCGGGCAAGACCGGUGCCAGCCGCCGCGGUAACACCGGCGGCUCGAGUGGUAACCGUUAUUAUUGGGUCUAAAGGGUCUGUAGCCGGCCGGAUAAGUCUCUUGGGAAAUCUGGCAGCUUAACUGUCAGGCUUUCAGGAGAUACUGUCUGGCUCGAGGCCGGGAGAGGUGAGAGGUACUUCAGGGGUAGGGGUGAAAUCUUGUAAUCCUUGAAGGACCACCAGUGGCGAAGGCGUCUCACCAGAACGGACCUGACGGCAAGGGACGAAAGCUAGGGGCACGAACCGGAUUAGAUACCCGGGUAGUCCUAGCCGUAAACGAUACUCGCUAGGUGUCGGCCACGGUGCGACCGUUGUCGGUGCCGUAGGGAAGCCGUGAAGCGAGCCACCUGGGAAGUACGGCCGCAAGGCUGAAACUUAAAGGAAUUGGCGGGGGAGCACAAGGGCGAUUGCG
RNAcentral lists this ribosomal RNA (566 nucleotides) under uncultured archaeon. RNAcentral describes it as "bacterial SSU rRNA". It matches the Rfam family "Archaeal small subunit ribosomal RNA", at positions 326 to 892 of the family's 1478-position model. The record is from RNAcentral.